Molecule: ribosomal RNA, 417 nt
Filed under: Triticum aestivum (bread wheat)
Lineage: Eukaryota; Viridiplantae; Streptophyta; Magnoliopsida; Poales; Poaceae
Description: partial small subunit ribosomal RNA
Source: RNAcentral
UGGCAGGAGAUACAGGAUGAGUUGUUUCCAGGCCAAACCCCACAGGACCGACCAGAUCUGGUGGCCCGAGUGUUCAAGUCCAAGCUGGAGACAAUGAAAGAUAUGCUGAAAAAGAAAAAUAUACUAGGCGUUCUGAACGCGUACAUAUAUGUGGCAGAGUUCCAGAAGAGGGGCCUCCUGCAUGCCCAUUUCCUGUUGAUAAUGGAUUCAAGAUAUAAGCUUCUUGUGCCAGAGCAGUAUGAUCGUCUCACAUCUGUCGAGCUCCCAGACAAGCAUAAGUACCCGGAGCUCUACGCCAUGGUCGUGAAGCAUAUGAUGCACGGCCCAUGCGGGGUCCUGAACCCCAACAACGUGUGCAUGCAAGAGGGGUUGUGCAAAUGCAGGUACCCACGGGAUUUCAACGAGACCAUCGUAUAG